RNAcentral lists this ribosomal RNA (253 nucleotides) under uncultured bacterium. RNAcentral describes it as "partial 16S ribosomal RNA". It matches the Rfam family "Bacterial small subunit ribosomal RNA", at positions 524 to 776 of the family's 1533-position model. The record is from RNAcentral.
AACGUAGGACACAAGCGUUAUCCGGAGUUACUGGGCGUAAAGGGUGUGUAGGCGGUUCUUUAAGUUUGGUGUGAAAUCUCCCGGCUCAACCGGGAGGGUGCGCCGAAUACUGAGGAACUAGAGUACGGGAGAGGAAAGUGGAAUUCCUGGUGUAGCGGUGAAAUGCGUAGAUAUCAGGAGGAACACCGGUGGUGUAGACGGCUUUCUGGACCGUAACUGACGCUGAGACACGAAAGCGUGGGUAGCAAACAGG